CGACGAGACGGUUCCUCUUGCUACACGACAACCGAUGCCCAACUGCUCAUCCUUCGCUCACAGUGUGCCAACAAACUGGGAUAUUCUCAAGCAGCAAUACAGGAUGCCGAAAACGCUUUGUAUAUCAACGGAUACUCCAUCCCUGCCAGGGUCGAGUUAGUCAAAGCCAAGUACGCAUUUGCCUGUGCAGAAGGGGGUCAAUGUCUGGUGGAAUUCCAAGAAUUCUUGCUCUAUCAAGUCCCACAAAAGGUUAAAGAAAAUCCAGAAGUGGGGAAUAUCAUACGACAGUUUGAAGCC
Molecule: long non-coding RNA, 297 nt
Organism: Patiria miniata (bat star)
Lineage: Eukaryota; Metazoa; Echinodermata; Asteroidea; Valvatida; Asterinidae
Exons: 4
Source: RefSeq, a predicted model, not a curated record